RNAcentral lists this non-coding RNA (149 nucleotides) under Gorilla gorilla gorilla (western lowland gorilla). The record is from Rfam by way of RNAcentral. Lineage: Eukaryota; Metazoa; Chordata; Mammalia; Primates; Hominidae.
GCCGGGCGUGGUGGCGCAUGCCUGUAAUCCCAGCUACUUGGGAGGCUGAGGCAGAAGAAUCACUUGAAUCCAGGAGGUGGAGGUUGCAGUGAGCCGAGAUUGCGCCACUGCACUCCAGCCUGGGUGACAAGAGUGAAACUCUGUCUCAA